GGGGAAUAUUGGACAAUGGGCGCAAGCCUGAUCCAGCCAUGCCGCGUGAGUGAUGAAGGCCCUAGGGUUGUAAAGCUCUUUCAACGGUGAAGAUAAUGACGGUAGCCGUAGAAGAAGCCCCGGCUAACUUCGUGCCAGCAGCCGCGGUAAUACGAAGGGGGCUAGCGUUGUUCGGAAUUACUGGGCGUAAAGCGCACGUAGGCGGAUUGAUUAGUCAGAGGUGAAAUCCCGCAGCUUAACUGCGGAACUGCCUUUGAUACUGUCUGUCUAGAGGUCGAGAGAGGUGAGUGGAAUUCCGAGUGUAGAGGUGAAAUUCGUAGAUAUUCGGAGGAACACCAGUGGCGAAGGCGGCUCACUGGCUCGAUACUGACGCUGAGGUGCGAAAGCGUGGGGAGCAAAC
RNAcentral lists this ribosomal RNA (400 nucleotides) under uncultured bacterium. RNAcentral's name for it is "bacterial SSU rRNA". It matches the Rfam family "Bacterial small subunit ribosomal RNA", at positions 356 to 773 of the family's 1533-position model. The record is from RNAcentral.